GGAGAGACAGGGCAGCCCAGGGGAAGGGCUGGCGUGUCCUAACCUCUCCUUUUAGGUUCCAGGGCCCUCCCUCAAAGUGCAGACUGCAUGAGAAACAGAUCCCCAGCUCAAGAACCAAAAGAGACACACCCAGCCUGGUGACGUCCCCACCAGCCGGUGACCCGUGGCCCCCAGCUCUUACUGUGAGGUUCCCAUGUACACGGCCCUGUGGAGGAUCCGAGUGCCUGCCGACCAUGGCCCAGGGCUUAUAAGAAGAAGAAACUUCCUCCGAGCUUCCCAAAGACCACCACCACUGCUCACACUUUGGAAAUCCUUCUGUCAAUUCAUUUUCGGUUUUUAUUUGGUUUUCACAUUGUUGUAAUCAUCCCGUGUUUACAAUUUUGUAUCCCACCGCAUUUAUCAUCCUAGCGUGUAUAUGUUUCUGCAUGUUAAAUUUAUCCUUGUUAUUGCAAAGGUUCAUAUUUUUGUAUAUAUUUAAACACAAAGGCUCACUUCAUGGGUUUUCCCUUUCUUAGCAGCAAACUUUGAAAAUGUCCCUUUUCUCUUCUAUCUCUCCCUCCCUCUCCCUGUCCUCCCUCCUAUCCUUUCUUUUCUUCCUUUCUUUCUCUCGAAAUUUCUAGUUCCUGUUCACUGCUUCCCUUCAUUUCACAUCUUCUCCAGACAUGACUGGACAUCUCUAAGACAUACACCAGAGGAUUCCUCUAAGGUCUAAACUCGCUAAAGUUUUGCGGUACCUGAUUGGCAGAGGGGAAAUUUCUGAUGAAGGCAGUUCUCACCCAGAGGGGCUGCGGCUGGGAGGCUCAUUACUCCAGGCCAGGGACAGUUGUCAAGAUGAAAAGGACAGGAAGACGAGUCUGGGCCAAGGCAUGUAAAGGUGUUUCCUGGACUUUUCAAGACCCCAGAGUGUCAGAGAAAGGGAAAUGUAACAUACUCUACUUGGAGAGGAAAUAAAUAUGUGGUCUGUCAACUAA
Molecule: long non-coding RNA, 971 nt
Organism: Lontra canadensis (Northern American river otter)
Lineage: Eukaryota; Metazoa; Chordata; Mammalia; Carnivora; Mustelidae
Exons: 2
Source: RefSeq, a predicted model, not a curated record